This 253-nucleotide ribosomal RNA is filed under the name uncultured bacterium. RNAcentral's name for it is "partial 16S ribosomal RNA". It matches the Rfam family "Bacterial small subunit ribosomal RNA", at positions 524 to 776 of the family's 1533-position model. The record is from RNAcentral.
UACAGAGGUCCCGAGCGUUGUUCGGGUUCAUUGGGCGUAAAGGGUGCGUAGGCGGCGGGGCAAGUCUGAUGUGAAAUCCCGGGGCUCAACCCCGGAACUGCAUUGGAUACUGCCUUGCUCGAGUACUGGAGAGGGAACUGGAAUUUACGGUGUAGCAGUGAAAUGCGUAGAGAUCGUAAGGAAGGCCAGUGGCGAAGGCGAGUUUCUGGACAGUUACUGACGCUGAGGCACGAAGGCCAGGGGAGCAAACGGG